GUUAUAGCUGAUGCUUUUAUCCACUACUCAGUGAAGACAACACAAUGAUUCCUAAAGCCAACGGUAAGGAGGUCAAAGACCCAAAAAGCCCUGGAAUGACUCUCUUUACUAUAAGACUUUGAUGCAUUCAAUCCAGGAACAUUUGGGAAGUCUAGAAGAGCCUUAUGAAUAAAUUAUUUUAUCUCAA
Molecule: long non-coding RNA, 187 nt
Organism: Micropterus dolomieu (smallmouth bass)
Lineage: Eukaryota; Metazoa; Chordata; Actinopteri; Centrarchiformes; Centrarchidae
Exons: 2
Source: RefSeq, a predicted model, not a curated record